This is a long non-coding RNA of Etheostoma cragini (Arkansas darter), 255 nucleotides long. RefSeq lists it as uncharacterized. The record is from RefSeq and is a predicted model, not a curated record. The transcript has 3 exons. Lineage: Eukaryota; Metazoa; Chordata; Actinopteri; Perciformes; Percidae.
CACACAUUAGACCCAUUGCAACAGCGAUAUACAUCAUGUCCCUCAUUACUGUUAUUUCUAUCAAAUAGGGAGAUUUACUGAAAUAUUUAAAUAAUAGUUGAGUGGUAAGUGUAUUCUGUAGAUGAGGCUUGUAUUCAUAUCUGUAAAUAGACAAAUCUGUUGAUGGGGCCCCUUUCUGCUUGGGUCCCCCAUCUGAAUUGACUAGUCUAGAGUGCAUUGACAACAUUUUGUUUCCGGGACAGUUCCGGAUGUCCU